Long non-coding RNA from Pseudophryne corroboree (corroboree frog), 1135 nucleotides. RefSeq lists it as uncharacterized. The record is from RefSeq and is a predicted model, not a curated record. Lineage: Eukaryota; Metazoa; Chordata; Amphibia; Anura; Myobatrachidae. The transcript has 4 exons.
GCACGUGUCUCUCUCUAUGACUGUGUGCGGGAAGAGAUGACGGGGUUCUUCGGUUGCUGCGGGGUGCGGCCUGGCACGUGCUGGACUGAGAUCCGGCCUAUCUCCGGAAGAAGGACACGCUACCGGCCCGGCUACAUGGCUGGUGACGCUGCAAUAGCACCGCGGCCGGGCUGAUGCUGAACGUGUGCUGCGUGUUACGGUGUGCGGCUGUUGGCAUCGUGCUCUUCCCUGUAUGAUGAGCAUGUCGCCUCCCCUGCUGGGACAAUGGAUGACUGAUGCAGCCUGUGACUUUCUGAAUGGAGUCAAAGCAUCGGAUGGAAGACCUGACACAGCUCAAUGUGAUGUCGGAGGAGUAGCAAUGUAUGUAAAAGAAAACUGCAUAAAUACUACAGAAAUAAAAAAAAUGAUGAAACAGGUCCUUUGGAAGACUAUAGAAACUGGGGCAAGGAUAGAAUUUGCACUGUGGUAUCUACAGACCACCAGGACAGGGAGAGGAACUGGACAGAUUGUUCAUGUCCGUUGAAGAAAAUGGCUCAGUCAACAAGCGGUGUCCUGUUUCAUAAAUGGUUAUACUUUUAUCAAACGUGCUAUGUCAUUGAGAAUUGGUCAAUCGUUUAGACUUAUAAAACAAAUUGCACAAGAACAGCUUUGUGACCGUAGUCCUGUUGGAGAAGCCUCUGAAUCUAGAUAGCGGAGUCCUGGUUUAGAGUCCAGUAGAGGAAGCAGCCUUGACAGAAGUCUCGAUAGUACAUUGUAGUAUCAGAAUACCCAAAUAUUGGCAACACUUGUUACAACCUGGUCAUAUGUUAGCAGAAUGCCUCUGCCUAAUGUCAUGGGGGGGAACUUGCUUUGACACAAUCAUUAUCCUUUAAAAGAAAUUUUAAUAUUUUAGCAGCUCCGCAAUCUUACCAGUCUGAGUAGAACACAUGGACUGGGAGCUACUGCAAAUAUUCAUAUUUAUACUUCUGCUCAUUGAGCUUUUGGUUUAUAAAUGAUAAGCAUCCAUGCAGUACUAAUUGUGGGUAAUGAAGGACUGUUGCCAUCUGUGUAAAACUGAUGCAUAAAGGGCUGUUAUAAUUUCCCCAAUUGGGAACAUAUAUUUUUCUAUUUAAUAAAGAACUUGUUGGUUACAGCA